RNAcentral lists this ribosomal RNA (253 nucleotides) under uncultured bacterium. Its description in RNAcentral is "partial 16S ribosomal RNA". It matches the Rfam family "Bacterial small subunit ribosomal RNA", at positions 524 to 776 of the family's 1533-position model. The record is from RNAcentral.
UACAGAGGUCUCAAGCGUUGUUCGGAUUCAUUGGGCGUAAAGGGUGCGUAGGCGGCGUGGUAAGUCGGAUGUGAAAUCUCGGAGCUUAACUCCGAAACUGCAUUCGAUACUGCCGUGCUUGAGGACUGGAGAGGAGACUGGAAUUUACGGUGUAGCGGUGAAAUGCGUAGAUAUCAAGAGGAACACCAGUGGCGAAGGCGAGUCCCUGGACAACACCUGACACUGAGGCACGAAAGCUAGGGGAGCAAACAGG